RNAcentral lists this long non-coding RNA (2081 nucleotides) under Homo sapiens (human). RNAcentral describes it as "HSALNT0381970". Lineage: Eukaryota; Metazoa; Chordata; Mammalia; Primates; Hominidae. The record is from RNAcentral.
CCUCAUCACGUGCCACCGACCCUGGGCUCUGUGACUUCCAAAGACUCGCCACCCCAUUCCACAGCCUGAGGUGCCACCAAAGCCAUAAGCCCAGGGGAGUCUCUCACACCCCAUUCUCCUAGGGCCCAUGUACCCCACGCCCACCUCCACCCCAGGAGCCGAAGGCCGGCAGGGAGCCUGGAGAGCCUCCUUGAUGGGAGAACUGCGGAGCUUGCCCCUCGGAAAAGUGCAUGGGGUGGAGAACAGGGAAGGAGAAAAAAACAACAACUGGGUACUCGCAGCCCCACCGCGGUGUCCGCUUCGCCGGUGGGAGAGGAUCCUCGCCGCCCUGAAUCCUUGAAAUCCUUGCCGAGCAUCUGCUCUGUACAGGCCGUGUACUAAGUGCUAGAGAGAUGGUGUGGGGUAGAUAAUGGCUUCCAGAGAUGUUCACGUCCUGAUCCACAGAUCCUAUAUGUGAGUGGAAAAAAGCCACAAAUUGAAAAUGUUUUUUAUCUGCUCUCACAUCACAACAAUCAACACAGAAGACUUCUGUGCCCACAUAUGUGAGGAUUUCUCUCACCAGCAAACAAGCAAUCAGUUCUGCAGUGGACACCAGCUGGGUGUCCUCCGAUUCAGUUCUGACACUCUCUACCUAAAGACCGCGUCCGAUCCCAGAGGUUGAGGGCUCUGGGUGUCCUCCGAUUCAGUUCUGACACUCUCUACCUAAAGACCGCGUCAGAUCCCAGAGGUUGAGGGCUCAGUCUCACAAGACUGCCCCCCGACUUCCGCCGCCAACCGCAAGCCCCUGGUUGUUUUACCUGUGCUUCUGACCAAGCAGGACAUCAUGACCUCCAGUGUGCAUUCAACCUAACAGAGCUGCUAAACUCAUUGCCUUUCUGCUCUGCCUCUCCUCUCUCCUGCAACACCCUCUCUGUCUCAUAAAUAUAGUCACAAUUUUCUCAUGGUUUAAGCCAAGAAACAGUUAAAAACUCUAAAGUCUUUUAUCCAAUGCAUUAAAAAACUGAGAUACUAAAUUAGAUAAGUUGUUAUCCGGUAGAACUCACGAAAGAAUCAAAUGUUCUCGACAAAAUUUAGAACAAAAUUUGACCCUGGAAAAUGGAGGUGAUAGAAAUAAAGUCCACAAAAGGAAACUUGCCACGGCAGCAGCUAUCAUUGGUGAAAGUUGAUAUUGACAAAAAUCGAUCUAUGAACCACAGUUCUGAUAUAAAAUUCAAAUGAAAAAGAAUUGGUCCCAAUGAAAAUAAUUUCAGUCCAUUGGAAAUGAAAAAGUGGAAAAAUUGGAAAUAGUUUAACCGAGCUUUUUACAGAAUUGAUCAAGGAAUUAAAUUGACUUAAUGGAGUCCAUUCUGGAAAACCCUUUCCCAAGAAAAAUUCAUCAGUCAGAGAACUUCUGAGUUACAUAUUUGUAUUAAAAAUAUCUCCAUAGGCUGGGUGCAGUGGCUCAUGCAUGUAAUCCCAGCACUUUGGGAGGCCGAGGCAGGCGAAUCACUUGAGGUCAGGAGUUCGAGACCAGCCUGGCCAACAUGGUGGCAGACGCCUGUAAUCUCAGCUAUUUGCGAAGCAGGGGAAUCGCUUGAACCCAGAAGGUGGAGGUUGCAGUGAGCCGAGAUCACGCCACUGCACUCCAGCCUGGGUGAAAGAGCGAGACUCCGUGUCAACAACAACAAAAACAACAAUAUCUCCAUAGGUAUUUGGUAGUAAAAAUGAAAAAAAGAGAGAAAAAUGUCUCCAGUGGAUCCUCCAUGAGAUUUUCAUGAAGAACCCAGGAGUGCUGGUCUGUGGUGGGAGCUUCACCCGGGAGGAGUAGAGAGGGCUGGGAGAGGGUGAUGUCUGGUACCUUUGGGCCCCUCUCCAUAAAAAUGUAGAAAAAAUUAGAUUAUAUGACUGCAUAGAUAUACAGAUGAAUGCAAUUCAGGCUGGAUUCCUUAUUUUAGAUUCAUUGUUAUUAUGUUCUUUUAUUCUUCUGAUUUUAAAAUAAAUUAAAAUUAAACAUUUUAAGGGCCCCUAAGAAGUAUUGUGGGCCCUAGGCACUGUAGCUAACAGAUAAUUGGCCCUGGUGGGGUCUCAGGUCAAGGGGAAGC